CUGCAAGUCGAAGGCAACGUAGUUACAAUAAACAGGCACAAGAUGAUUAUGAACACACAGUCCGGACCUCGGUAUUUACAGACAACAGACACCACCUCGGUUCCUUUGAGAGACCUCCUGGCCAUGAUGUGUCAUGCAUGCAUUUCAGAAGACUGAUGGUCAAAGAGCGAGUCCUGCUGUGAUUUCAAAUGGCAGUCUCAGGAAGGGCUGGGAUUCAAAGACGGGAGCCCAGUUUUGAGAUAUCAGACUCCUUACUCAGCCUCCAAACAAUCAGUGCCACCAACCAGCCAGUCAGUAACCAUCACUCUCCCUAGGGACCAGGGGCUGAGACACCACUGCAGUGGCCCCUGUGAGCUUGCAGCUGGCACUGUCACCCACCUGACCCAGGAGAGAAAACAACCCGCCUGCCUUGAAAUGCUCUCUACCGCUCUGUCCUUGGUGGUUUUUAAGAGUCAAAAAAGGCAUGUAUUGAUCUUUACUCCUGUGAAUAUACAAAGAACCCAAUCAGAAGAUGUCAUCAGAUUCUGCAGUUUGACAAUACACGCCACAGACAGGACUCAGGACCUAACGUGCAACGGACUGCCUUCUCCCGAAUACCACAAUCUUCACUAUGUAAAAUGAAGCUCCAAGGAAAUUUAACCUCCUUGGCCUGUUCUUCAAAACUUCUUGGUUUCUGGAAUCUCCCUGAAAUCUGUGGAAGCCACAGGUGCCCAGCGCAUUUGUAAAACUAGACCACAUGUUACUCCAUUAAUUUUCAUACAAAAAUUUAAGCCCCUGUUUUUCCAAUACUCUGUCUGCAGUUCAGCUGGUAUAAGUGUUGGAGCCAAGGGCAGAGCAAUUCUAUGGACUUGUCAGUUGCUCAGAUGAAUGCAUUUCAAUUUCUAGCUUAUUGUGGUGUAUUUUUUUUCCUAGUGAUAAAACACCAGCACCAACGAAUGAAGAAUUCAAGGAAAGUUUCUCGCAUAGCUUAGCUACUGAUUUUAAGUAGCUAGACACAUGGUUUGUUUGAACACGAAUGAACACAGCUUUGGUUUACAUAAGGAAUAUCUAAUAUCUAACUUGACGAGCAAGUGAAAUAUUUUUGUACCAGAACAGCACAAAACAGCACUGCCCAUAAACAGUGAGCUGCAUUUAUAAUGAACUUAGCUGUGCUUUGAGAAAGCAAUAUCUGGAGGGUAUUUGUACUUAAUGAGGCAGGGGACAAUGAGUUAAAAGAACAAAAUUCCCACAGUAGGGGAAAAAUAAAAAUUAAACUGAAACUGGGAGUAAAGCGUAUGGCUCCUUACAAAGAAGUCAGAGCAACUUCUGUCAGAGCUCUACUGUCUGAAUUGACAAACAAAAUCACGCUAAUAGAUGAUAAAAACAUUAAGAAAUCUUCUACAAUCACAGUAUUUCUGCUGUUACAUCACAAGUCUCACAGAACAGCUUUGCAAAUAAAAGUAUAUAGACUUAAAUAUGCCCUUCGCUUCUUUGCACAAAAUAGGCUCAAUUUAUGUCUCUGAACAUUUUCCAGCUUAAUAUACGAUUCCAAAGGACGAGAUGUCUUGUUUAUUCCUGAGAGAGAAACCAGGGUCCUUAAAAUCAUAUUUUAUAAAUAUUAAAGCAACUUGAACAGUUUGCAUUUCACAGUGGCUAGCAGACUAAUGUUUAUAUUCAUUUAGUACAGACACCCUCUCCUCCCACUCUCAGGCUUGCUAGUUUUAACUUAGGUUGCUAAGUUUUAACAAUGUCUGCAAAACUGCGCUCACUUUGUUGUUCCUAAUUUUGCUCUCUCCCACUCCUCCUUCACUCUUGUCGUGGUUUAACCCAAUUAUUUAAGUAAUCUAAAACAAACACACACAGCUUGUUCCUCAGAAAUAUAUACUCUAGCCUAGGGGACAGAAUGCUUUUAUUUAUUCAUUUUCUGGUGACAUUACUGAAGAACAGUUUCUUCACAGCUUCCAGCAGGAUGUAAACAAAUGUAGCUGAUGCAUGAUAGGGAUUAGACAGUAGGAAAGUGGCACUCCUAUCGGGCCAAAGCAUAAAUUACAGGAGUUACAAGUGAUACGAAAAAAUUCUUUGGAACGGAUGGGGAGAGAACUCCAGUAUCUCAGACACACUACAAACAAACCAGUGUCUUAAUUUUGUUUUCUGUAGCUACACAGCGGCCAAAAUACAUGCCACAUACCAGCACUGCUCCACAAGUAAUGCCUCCUAUUUUAUUAUGCUGUCCCACGACAUUAGGGUGGUACGGCAGCAGAGUUUGAACCUUCCCACCAAUAUUGUCAUGGAGUGACAGAUGGCAGCAGAGGGGCACUCUGACACAAAGGCGUCUGACAUGGAAGUGCAUAUGAAGCAAAAAUGUGGAACUGAAUUUCUCCAUGUAGAAAAAAUGGCAUUCACUGACAUACAUCAACGCUUGCUGAAAGUUUAUGGAAACCAAACAGUGGAUGGGGCUGUUCAUUUCUGCUGAGGCAGCAGCAGUGUGAAAGACAAGCCACAUUCCAGAUGGCCAUGCAGAUUGUUAUGAGUGUGACAUGUAGGCUCUUGAUCAUCACUGGUGAAAAUGAAUAGCUAAGGGUGGUGACUGUGUUGAAAAAGAGUGUUUUGUAACUGAGAAUUUGCUCUAUCAAGCAGUGUUACUGUGCUUUCUGUAUCUGUUGUAGUUUCCAUGGAAAUAUGUAGGAGGCACUACUUUUGGAGCAACCAAUGUAUGUACUUUAAAGAUAUUUAAAACAUGCUCAAGGUGAGAUAUGAUCUAUCUACAGCCAGUUAAGCAAUCCCAGGAGACAAUAUUUAAUAUAUAUUUUUUUCUCUUUUAAAGAAGGAGAAUAUUUUGACUGUCCAAACCCAAACUUUUCGAAUUCAGUGAUCUGUAGCUCAGGACAUGUAGGUGUAUUACAGUCCCUUAACCUGGCAUGCACCGAUUUUUCUUCUCACGCAGAAUCUCCCCCGGCACAAAAAAAUGCUGAGCAUCUCCAGGACUCAGGCUGUAUUCAACCUGUCUCCUUACAGGCCUCAGUUGUUAACUUCUUGACUCCUGCUCCCACUGGCUUUCCCCACAGCUUUUUUCUCUGGAGAAUACUGUGAGACCAACCUAAGCCUGUUGGUAACCAGAGCAUCUAUUUCUUGGUUUCAGGCAGAAGGAAGCACUGAUACAAAAUUUGUAAUUCUGAAUUUAAAAAUGGUUUGGGUAAAAGUUAUGUUUAUUGGGCUGAUUGUUAUUGUUGGUUUUCCCCUUAAUAUUUGCACACUAGAAUAAACAAUGAUUUCACCUACAGAGCAUGCAAUCCAAAGGAAAAGCCAUGAAGGGUUUACAUACAACGAAGUCUGGUGACCCUCACAUUGUCUUUCGUAUGACCAAGUAUUUCUUAUCACUUGCUGUUCCACUGAACCGUUUGGACGCCAGAAGACAAGAUAACAGAAGUGAAUUAUGUGAAAUGUCUCUAAUUUAGUGUUUUAAAGUACUUAUAAUUCCAAAAGAAUCCUUGAUUUUUUUUUAUGUAUUUUUUUUUUAAGAUUGUUUUCUGAUUAUUGUUGUAGGGGCACUGACCCCAUCAAGAGAAGUGGAAAAAUUAGUCAGGGAUGCUGGCCUUAGCUCUAUUAAUACCUCAGGGCAUCCACUGGAAAUUAAAGUACUCUGUCCUCAAAUGCCAAAGCACCCUCAGUUCCAAAUGGGAAUUAAGCAAAGAAAACUGGAAGCUCACAAACAGGAAAUGGAAUAAUGGAACAAAAGUUAACACUAUUUCAGAACCUGGCCAUAAUGUUUUCACAGAAUGGCAGAAAAAGUACGUGAGGAUUUACCCAAGCUUUCAUCUGGUCAGAAAAAGAAAUCCAAGCAGUAUUUUGCUGCUAAAUGGCAGAAUUCAAAGCCAACCUGCAGCUGCACCACAGCAAGCAGUCUACCUGCUCUCUGGUACAUACGCUGCAGUUAGCCAUAGCAAUGAGAUGUGACCUCUGGGUGUGCCUCCUGCCUGCAGUUAGAUGACUGCAGUACCAUUACAGAUGCCAAAAGAAGCAUUUGCACAGAAUCUCUAACUUCGCAUAACUUUUCUACUUUGGAGGUGCCACAGUCACCAUUUCCUACCACUUCUGCUUUCCAGAUCAUGAGAUUGCCUACAUGCUCAUGCUAAAAACAAGGGAAUUUGCACCUAAACACCUAUUCCAUUGAACUUGCUUUUAUAAAGCUAUUUUCUCUGCAAGUUUGGGAAGGUUAAUUAUCCUUUAUAUUGGAGAUGUGAAGGAGAAAACAAACUGAGACAUUUUACUCAAAGCAUCCCUUUUUUGGUUUGUGAUUAUGUGCUUCCCUUUCAUAUUUGUAGCAACACUGAAAUCCUGCACUGUGUAAUUCCUGCGUUUUAUAAAGCAGCUGAUGCACAGAUAUCAAAAUCUCAAACGUAUGCCCCCCUCUCCCUUCGAUAGAACAAACUUAAACAUUUCAAAAGGCUCUCCCUGUACUGGUGACCCAUCCACUUAUUUGUGAAUACCUCUGCCUUGGUCCGAUUCCAAAGUUAGCAGAUUGGUAGGUAUAAAAUGCAGAUAAACUGUGCUGACAUUUCUAGGCAAAAGCUCUGUUUACAGGGUAGGCUAUUUUGAAGCUGAGCAAAAAUCUUUUGGAAAUACUGCACCAAACUGUCUUUCGCUUCAUUUAUCAUCAUCAGGUGCGAUCUUAAGCAAAACUUUAUCAAAGCAACAUUCCACUUUCCUGCAUGCUGAUUUUACAAAACUCACUCUCUGAAUGUUGUUCUACAUGAUGUCAUCACACUGUAACUCACUUCAUUUACAGUAUCUGUUUCACUUCUACUCACAAGCUAAUAUAACUCAUUUCUUUCUUUCUUUCUUUUUUUUUUUUUUUUAACUGCACACAGGCUGCUAGACACAUGUGCAUAGCAAAUGGAAUCUGAACUUAGCUUAACAGCCUCAUUUAUUCCUGAUGGUUUAAAUUAUUUCAUCACAAUUAAUGACACCCCCUCAGCUUCCUGUGCAGCGCUGCCAGAUGUUCAGAGACCACAAAGCCACUCUCUUCUUUGACGGCUAGUGACAAGUCGUCCUCUGAAGGACGUUCCCUCAGUACACAGGCCGGAUGACACCUCCACUGCUUAGCACCUCUCCACCUCCCUGGGUAACCAUGGUGAGAGAAGGAGGAAGACAUGAGAAACCAGCCCGUGCAUUAGUAAGGACAAAUUAUGUGAAGCGUUCUGGACUUGAAGGAUCUCAUCUCCUCCUACCGGAUUUUCCAACCUGACUGUUUUAUAAAAAAGACAGACAACUGUUUGCCUCGACAUUCAAGGUGUUAAGCUUUCUAUGCUUCAUUAAAAAUAACCUGUCCUUCCUUACAAGGGGAAAAAAAAACAAAACCAAAAAAACGCGGGGGGGCAUGAAGCGAAAAAUACAAAUUGCAGCCACGUGGGAAGCCCUUACUUGGAAUACUAUCUCACUACUCCAUCAUCUUCAAAAGCAGAAUGCAACAAAUGCUAAGUCUUAGAAAUGCUGUGCUCACAUUCAGCUUAUUUUAUUCUUAUUUGUCGCUGUUGUCUUCCUGUCAGAGGAAGCAGAUUUUCCCUUACAGCGCUCCUCUCACAGUACUUAGGUAUUCUUCAGGACAGGAGGAAUGCAGGUAAUUUAAGUGAAAAAAAGUUGUGAGCAUGGAUAUCACUCUGAAAAUGAGAAGAUAGGCUCUGUCUCUAAAAAGAGGUAAGUGAAAAGUGUAACGAAAGUGUAGCUCAUGCAACUGCAGCCCUGGAUAAGAAAACAGCAAGUGUCUUGCAUUUUUUAAGAUUAAAAAGCAAGCAUCUAUGCUCCUGAAAUUCCAUCCACUAUUUCAAGCACAUAUGGCAGACAUUCUAUCGAGUUGUGUUUUUUUUUUUUUUUAUUAUUAUUAUUAUUGAAAAAAAUGCUGAUCCAUGUGAAGGACUAAAGGGCUGUUCAGAUUGCCAAAAGUGUAGUAUUAAAACAGAAAGGCCACCUGUGUUAGCCCACCCAAUAGAAAAGUCAGGAGCUGGAAAGUUUGUCUGUCUCUCUCUCUCUCUCUUUUUCUUCUCUUUUUUUGUUAAACACAUUUAAAGUAGGGAAAAAUAUCACCCACCAACAAAAAAUUCUAGAGAGCAGUGCCAGAAGAGAUUUGUGCGUGAGUCUAGUAAUGUGUGUGGCCACUCCAGAAUUACUCCUGUUACAAUAAAAAUUAGUUCCUCACUCAGGAUGUUAAAAGCUACUUUGAAGGAAAGCUUCUUCAGAAUUUUCCUAAAAAUCCAGUAGCAGGACUGAAGGAAAGGCAGAGAUGACACAUCUGUCACAGCUUGUUUUUUUCACUUGUUUUUUUAACAAGUGUUUCACACAAAAGUAGUCAGGUAUUCCUUUAGUUACUCAGUACAAUCAUUUCAGCAGAUGACUCUGUAAAGUGUCAUAUAUGUAUAUAUAUACCGGGAGGAGAUGAGAUGCAUACACAGUGACAACAGAACUCCUGAGCAGUUUUACACUUAAAUUACCUUUUCCAUAUGUGUUUAAGUUUUUCCAGAUGUGUUUAAGUUCACAUGCAAAAUACACACAAAUAAAACAAACUUAAAAUCCAAACCCCCCUCAAAAAAAAAAUAAUAAUAAUAAUAAAAAACCUUACUUUCAAAUGCAUUGAGAUUUAUGGAGAGUCACAUGGACUUCGUUCUGUUGUCUCUGAAUGUUUUAUUGGGGGGAGUGGAGGAGCUGAAUAAACUUUAAACUCUCAUGUAGGGAUGUAUUGCCUGUGUGUCCCUGGCAGAUGUGGAAAGGAGAUGAAAUGGGCAAGGGAGAAUCGAAUAUCCCAUCACUGCAGGUUUGUGAAGGGGAAAGAACACUGCAAAGAUCUCACAUCUGGCAAUCAUUUGUCAAUAGCUGGAAAGAGAACGGCAGGAAACUUUCUGGCUCUUGUGGAAGAUGAAAAGACAAAAACCAUGUGUCACACAUGCACAGUGCUGGUACAAUGACUACUACAUUUAUUCCUCCUCCCCCCCCCCCCCCUCUGCCUUAAAUUUAAUGAUCUUCAGAUAUACUUUACUCUUUGGUCAAAAUCAUGCAGUCACUUGAAUUGUUAAAGCUGCAGUGUAUGUACAUUUUUCAAAUAAACCCCAGGGCUGAUGUUAGAAAAUCAAAAUCAUUCAAGCAUAGGCUGCCUGGUACUUUGGGCAGGAAUCCUUGUGGUUUAGUCAAUAAACAGAAUCUAAAUGAAAGACACCACAGUAACUAGACAGUAAUGUUUUGAACAGUUUUAACCCAAAAAGGGAGAGAGACAGAGAGACAGAGGCUGACUGAGUGGCCAGAUACAAUGCUACCAAGUCCACAGAGAUCACUCUCCUGCAUACAGCAUCUGUGUUUGAGCACAAGGUCACUUGCUGUUUCUUUAGAGACUAUUUGUGUUUAGAAGUAUUGUUUUACAUUUCUUCUGCAGUUCUGGGUUUGUGGUUUUCUUUUUGAUUCUUGUUUUUGUUUGUUUGUUUCUUUUAUUUCCAGAGAGAUUUUAUUUACUUCACGGAAAGAUCUAUUAAAUAAAAAUGUAAGGAUCACUUUGCACUGAGACACAGCGUAAGAUUUUACUGUCUAAUUCACUAAUGUCACGUUGUACAAUGUUGUGAAAAAUCCUAGGGAAAGAGUCUACAGUCUACAAAAAUUAAAUAGGCCCAUAUUCACUGGUUUUACUUGUGUGACUGAUGGUCCUUCACAGCUUGCUUUCAAUUCAUUCUUCUAGUGCUUUUAAGGAGAAGCUGCUGCAACAGGAGCACAUCUUGUCCCUGUGAAUCUGCAAGUAAAUGCUGCAGGUUGUUUAAUCUGGCAAAAUCACAGUAGCCUGCCAAAUUAUAACAGGAAUAGUAUCUCCUCCAAACAAGUCUGAUCAUGGUUAAUUACAAUGCAGACCAGAGAGCAGCCACAAUUAUUCAUUAUUACAGGAAGCACCUUAUUUAAAUUUUAUGGAAAUUUGCACUUGCACUCCAACAUGCUUGGGAAAAAAAAAAAAAAAAAAAAAGAGGGAAAAACCCACUCACACAAGGAAGAACGUUAUACCUCUGAAAUAUCACAAGACACUGUGUAUAGACUGGGAGUGAAAUGUUGCCCUGAUAUUUACCUCAAGACAUCUCAACGGCAGCAUUUAUCACAUCCAAUUGGCAUCCAAAUUUCUUUCAAGUAAUAUUUAUUAGUAUAAUCACAGGAUUUGUAAACAUCAUAGCAAAACGUAACAAAAUCUAUUUUGACUGGAAAAAAAAACAGCUAAAAUGCCCUAUCUUUACAAAGAUAUAGAUGGGAAGGUAGACAUUUAGACAGAUGGGCAGACAGAGAGGUAUUUGUACAUAUGCAGAUAUAGUGUCUGUGUAGUAUUGUACAGGCUGCACUAUCCUUUAUAUUAGGGACAACUCUUUCCUUUUAUAUGCUCCACAGCACAAUUAAGUUUCAAGUUCCAAAGCUGAAAACAAGCAGAAAAGAGGGGAAGAGGAGUGGGGCUGCUUUAGGGCAGUCCACCAGUACCAGCACAUCAGGAAGUCUCACUGGCAUAAGCAAGUAUUGCUGGCCACCAGAGGAGAACACACUCCCACACCGAUGGCAAUUCUACAUAACAAAACAGAGUUGGCUGUGCACCGUGGGGACACAGCAUUACUCAUUUUUUCCUUUUUUGUUUUGUUUUGUUGUUGUCGAGUAUUCCAUUUUUGUAACUGAAAUCAUUCUGCAGUUGCAAUAGAAAGGUGGAGUGAAUGAGCAAGGACAUUAAAUCCGGUAUCUUUAUUAGCUAAGGGAGAAUCUCCUAUCAGAGAAGCUGAAAUCUGAAAAAUUAAAAGCAAAAGGAAAUGAAGAAUUGGAAAUAUACUGCACUGACAACUUCCCCAUCAGUCGUAUAUGGGUUUACAAAAGAAAUACAUGUUUUCAGCUACUAUCUGCCUGUAAGUGGUUUUCCUUAAUGUCACUCAUAACUGUAAGAAAUGAGCCACACAGGCAACACUUAAAAAAAACUUUCCAUCUUCAAGACACUGCCUAAACAUUAGAAAAGCAAUGCUUGUCCAGAUAAUUACUACUUAACUUAGAAGUGAACAUUAAUGAACACUUCAGGCUUGCCAAUCUGCUUGCACUUCAGGAUCAUACUUGUUUUUAUAAAUUGAUAAAACAUAAUAUGCCCAUGUAUCAACAUGCUACUUCCACACUAACCCCUCACAUCACUCACUGCUCUGUGUGUAACACAUGAAGAAUGCCAAUGCAUUGGCCAAUGUGGCAUCUUCUCCUCAGCCUCCAAGGGAAACAAGUGGACCUGGAGAGAUGCACUGCAUCUGGCUGGCAUGGAGCUCUCUUUCCCCACAGCAGCCCGUACAGUGCUGUGCUCAGCACCUGUAGCCAGAGCAGCAUUGAUAUCCCACCAAUGUUUCAGCUGUUGCUGAGCAGAGCUAGCACAGGAUCAUGGAUGGCUCUCUAAGCCUUCCUCCAAAAAACAGCAGUAUAGGGGUGAGCAAGAGCUGGGGAGGGAACACAGAAGGGUCAGCUGAGCUAAGCCUGACUGGAAAGCUGUAGCACCUUUCAGAAAAGCUGACAGAACUGAGCUUGUUCAGCCUGGAGAAGAGGAGACCUCAUUGUAGCCUACCAGUUCUUAAAAGGAGCUUAUAAACAGAAGGGAGACCAAUUUUUCUACAUGGGAAGAUAGUGAUAGGACAAGGAAGAAUGGGUUUAAACUACAAGAGGGGAGAUUUAGCUUAGAUGUAGGGGGAAAUUCUUUACUCAGAGGGUGGUGAGGCAGUAAAACAGGCUGCCCAGAGAAGCUGUGGAUUCCUCAUCCCUGAAGACAUUCAAGACGAUGCUGGAAGGGGCUAUAGACAGCCUGAUCUGGUGGGUAGCAGCCCUGCCUAUGACAGGGGGUUAGAGCUGGGUGGGCUUUGAGGUCCUUUCCAACCCAAGCCAUUCUAUGAUUCUACAACUCUAUAAUAUUCCAUGCCAUGUGAAGUUGUGCUCAGCAAUAAAAGUUACAGGGAAAAAGGAGAAGGGCUGGGAUUCACUUUAUGAAAGUGUUGGUUUCAAGGGUGGAGUGAAUCUGGGCUUUGCAGUUUUAGGUAGCUCAGUGCAACAGUAAGCAACAGCAUGUAAUGACCUUAAGUUGCUCCAGAAGACAUUCAGGUUGGAUGUUAAGAAAAAUUUCUUCUCAGAAAGACUGGUGAGGUAUUGGAACAGGCUGCCCUAGGAGGUGGUGGAGUCACUGUCACUGGAGGUAAAUGGUUAAGUGUGGCACUGAAGGACACAGGUUAGUGGGCAUGGUUGUGAUGGGUUGAUGUCUGGACUAGAUGAUCUUAGUUGUCUUUUCCAACCUUAAUGAUUCUGUGAGUCUCUGAGCAACUGCUACAUAUAUUGAGGCCCUGCUUCCUAUGAUGUGGCGAAUAUCACUCACUGAUGGGAAGUAGAGAAUAACUGUUUUCUCCUUUUGCUUCCACGUGGCCCCUGGUUUUCUUUUUUCUUUUUUUUCUUUUUUUUUUUUUUUUACCCUUUUCCUUUAAUUAAGCUGCUCCUUAUCUUAAACCAUGAAAUCUUCCUUUUUUUCAUUGUAUUUUCUCCUUGUCUUUCUGAGGAGGCAUGGUGGAACUUAGUUGCCCAUCAGUUGCUAAACCACUCAAAUUAUGUAGAUUUCAGUUGACUGAAUGUGUGACUGAAGUUACUUUGGCUUUUUUACGUUGUUUGUUUGUUUACUUGACAAAAAAUGUCAAAUAGAAAGAGGAAAGAAAGGGCUGUACAAAACCAAGAUAGCCUUCAAGAAGUGUCAUUUCCUGUAUCAAUGGAACCAGUCUUAUUUCCUUCAAUGAAGGAAGGUUCUUGGUGGUUGUUUUGUUUGGUUUUGUUUUGUUUUUUGCAUCAAAACAGAAGCAGUUUUCAGCAGCUGCAGACCCAGUUUACAAAGUUCACUGGGCAAAAUCAACACACAUGCAGAAAAAAAAGGUUUCCUUCCUUCUGCUCUCCCUUUUAACUCCACCAGCACCAUGAGCUCAAAUUCUGCUCAAGAGAGUCUUUCACAUGCUCUGCAAAUCUCAACCAUUAACAGUGCAGCAUAUAGAUUCUAACAAAAUUCCAGCUUUGUGCUUCUGAAAUCCAUACCUCCCUUACUACCAUCUUGAGUCAUCGCUUAUUGGAGUUUUCAACCCUGUAGGUUGCCAUGUGUUGACAAUAAAGUUAGAUGGAAAUGAAGUUGGACAAUGAAAACAAUCUAAAACAAUUCUGAAGCAGUGAGUUCUGCCUUCCAGUGGAGGUAACAUACUUUUCUCUUGAGAAAAACAGCCCACACAGAGGUUUGUGAACCUGCAGCUGGACUGCUUUUGGCACGCAAGCUGAUUUGGAUUUCUCCAUUAGAAGACACAUUAUUACACAGACAAACUGAAACACCUUCCAUUAUUCAAGUUGUAUCUAACUAAAAUAGCAGUAAAAAAAAGGCAAUGACGGAGAGCUCUUUGCUGCUAAAACAAAAAUGAAGACCAUCUCCAUUCUUUCAUGGUUGAGCUUUCCCAAUUCUGAGCAUAAAGGAGACAAGUUAUAGCCACAAAGCAGUUGUGUUGCAUGCUUUUUCACCUUACAAAAUCAAUGCCAUGUGGCCUUGUUUCUUCACUGUACACUCUGGAUAACGAUUACUAUGCAGGUAUGUUUUUACCAUAAAAGCAGUGCCAACCAAAGGACAGCUGCUAAAUAAAAUGCUACUUGAACGUUAAAUUAGUAUUUCUUAUCUAUAGAGCAUUUUGUUCACACUACUUUUUCCCUCUUAAAUGCUUCAGCUUUGCAAGUAGGUUUCCUAUUAAUGUAGCAUGAAACUUGUAGUAUAAGGGAUUUCUCACCUAUUGCCUGGAUCAUGUCAUUCCCCUCUUUGAUGUGGAAGGUAAAGGAAGCUGAUUCAAGUCCAGGCUCUUCAUCCCAAACUUCAAGGCUCUGAACAACUCUGCUCCUGGCUACAUUUCUGUUCCCCAUCAUAUUCCUUUCAUUCUGCUCCCUGAAGCCCACAGCCUUCCUUCUCCCUUGUCUUCAGACUUUAUUUCACGUCCUUUUUUACACCUGGGCAGCUGCUCUCACUGCAUUCCACUUUCUUUAAAGCAACUAAUUUCUUCUGUGAAGUACAAAAACCUUAAGCCACCUAGGGAAAGUUGUCUCUGUCCUAAAAUUAAAUGCACAAUUUCAAUGCUCAGAGAGACAAUCAUCCUAGGGCCACCAUGAGUGUUUCACAUCUGGAUCACUCCAAACAUCUGUUUACAUUAUGAGUAGAUACAGGAGGGGGCCAUCUAGUAUUGUUUGUUCAUAUAGUGCUAGGUAUACUACUGCCCUUAAAUCAAACACUCUUUUAAUGUCACCAUUAAUGCAGUUUAAAAACUUCUCCUACAACCAAAUGUUUCGGUCAUUGGCUGCUAAUAUACAUUUUACAUAUACACUUUUUUUUUUUUUCCUUUUCUUUUCUUUCUUUCUUUCUUUUUUUUUUUUUUUUUUUUUUUUUUUGCAAGAAUUCAAAUAAUUUCAAAUGUAAAAAUGCCAUUGCAGGAUAAUAUUUACAUUGAGACAUUCUCAAAACCAUUGAAACAGGAUGUUUAGGGUAUUCAAGAGAUUUAAAAUCAAAUCUGUGAGGAAGGAAUAACAAUCUUCCAUCCUCACCAGAAGGAUUACUGAGCAGAAUUCACUAGAGAAAAAUGGAAAACUAUUUUAAUCCCACCUGGAGGGAGGAUAUUGCAAUAUGACAGAUACAUUGGGAAGUCCUUACUCUGGAAAACAAAGUGGGAACAGCCUUUUGCUGAGACAUUUUGACUUAAAAAUUAAAAAAUAAAUAAAAAUAGAAUGUCCUGAGAGCAAGAAACCGUUUUUUCCUCAAUGCCAUUGUUUCUCAAAUAUCAACUGUGUAAGACACCUAAGGUGUCAGUUCUGGUUCAAGGAACAUAAAAGUGUGGAAGCCAAAUAUCAAAAGACAAUUUACACUGUGAAACUGAAGGGAAAAUUUCUUCUGUACAGCUGUACAGCGCUAUUUUUUGUAGGCCUAGAAAAAGGGCACCUUUAGGAAGACACCAGCAAAAAGAUAACAUCUCAGAGAGAUCAGGAGAUACUCUAUGGUAGAGACUGUGACACAGGACUACACAAAGAUGGCAAUGGAUGAAGGGCAUAAGGGCGUUUCUAGGCUAUCACAUCCAAAUGAAAGUAGAAAUGGAAUUUGAUAAGAACACCAGCACUGGGUUCUAUCUGAAUGUUUAUGCUUUCCAUAUGUAAACCAUUAGUUUAUAUUGAACUCUUAAAUUCAGGAGGACUAAAUACCUGAUACACAGUUGCAAUAUUCUAGCAUUACAAGUAGUUCUCUUUGUGAGGAAACUGAUGGUUAUAAGUCACAACCCUGCCAGUGUUCCAACACUUGUGCUCUCCAACAUUCCAAGGUUCUAAAAAAAAAAAUCCCAUUUAAGCCAAUAGAGAAUCAGUGUUUCAUGUGAAACUCCUUUCAUUUUCAGCAGCCGGCACUGAAAAUGCAAGAAUGUAUACAAGAAUGAAGAAUGGAGAAUCACAGUGUUUGAAAUAUCACAUGGUGUCACCAUGAAGUAAUACGUGGCAACCACAACCAACCUCUUUCAUCUAACACAAGUAUUCACUUUACAGAAAACUACUGAACAGGCAAAAUUUUGUGUGUAAAUUUAAAAAAAUUAAGCAUUCACAGGACUUAAGUUUUUCUUACAGAAUAUAAAAAUUGUAUCUUCUUCAAGACUUCAGAAAAAAAGAAACAAACAAACAAAAAACUAUUAGGUCUACGAUCAACUGUGAAAAAUGAAGUCAGACCUUUUUCCCUAAAUGAGCUACAGAUUUUUAUGUGAGGUUGCUAUUUUUCUUACGUAACCAGCUACCACAACCUCAGAGUCACAAGUUACAUUCUCUUCAUAAGAAGACCAUUGUGGUUUUCAGUAUAAUCACCAGCUUGUAUACUUUGGCAUCCCAUGGUCACUUCGAUCUCUGAUAGUGACAGAAAAUUAUGGUUUUAUCCCAUGUCUUAAAGCUCAGAUUAUCUUAGUUACUGAAAUGCACACACAAUGUCUAUCUCAGCGCUAUCUAAACUACACCGGGCCGGAAUAGCACUGCCAAGAGCAUUCAUUCUCUCCAGGAAGCAGAGUAAUAUUGUAUCAUCAUCCUGAGUUCCCACUUUCAACUGGAAUCUGAUUCAAAAUAGCCAUUCUAGUUUUCAAAAUUCUUCAAGGAGGCAGAAAAUCUCCACCAAGUCUUAACAGAACACAUUCACAUUGGAAUUUCUAUUGAAUCUAAAUGUAUUCCAGUGACUCAUUUUGACAGCAUGGAAAGCUAUCGAAUGACAUGACCUCAGUCCUCACCCCUCUUAUCUGUCCUUUUCUUUCCACUGGUCAUCUUCCUUGCACAUGGAGCUUUCUCUACUAUGCUUUUUCAAGUCACUAAGUUAUCCUUCUUCAUCACUCACCUUUUACUUUUCUCUUCAGUGUAGCCAGCUUAGCCUCUGUGACUUCUCAUUUUGUACCACUACAUCUUCCUACUCUUCCUUAAGUACCCUAUGGAAACUGGUCUGCAUUCCAGCUUAUCUUUAUCCUCUGGUUCAAGGAUUUUCACGAUGCUUUGGAGCAUGGAGGACAUCUUAAGACACAGUAUGCUGUUAGGACCACUUCUCCUUCCACUCAUGGUCAUGUGGAGCACCUGCACCCUCAUCUGCAAUUACUUAACAUCCCAUUGGGACUAUAUAUAUGGAAAGCAGCAAUAGGAAAAUGUUCAUUCCAUUCAAUGUCAGAGAGCAAAGAAGAAAGCCAGCACCACAUAAGCAGUCAGCUCUCCAUGGACCACCACCAAGUGCUUUACAGAGCAUCAGAAAUGAAAGACUUCAUCCCAGUGCUCCAUCCUGCACUGCACUCAUGAUCACCACUGUAAUUGUCCCAAACAACACAGCACAAAGUAAUUUCUGGAUCUACUUGACAUCGUAGGUCUCUGGACUCACUGAAUUCCCUCCACUCCCAGUUAUUACAUGCAACCAUUCAUUAUGUUAAGGCUGUGACUGGAUUUGAAUUUUCCAAAUUGGUAUCUUGAUAUCUGCAGAACUGCCCUUGAUAUCUGCAGAACUUCAGUGCAGUAGACAAGCAAGUUUUACAGAAGUAUUAGAAGCAGAGGACUUUACUGAUUUUAAACCACACAAGCUGUCAAUACAAUCAAUACUAUAUUUCAAGCCCUAGAAAUGGAAAGAAAGUAGAAACAGAUAAUCUUGAUGUGAUCAAAUGGGAACAUGUUCCCUAAGGGGCUCCCUGACAUAUUUAAAGUCACAGGAAAACAUGUCAAAGAAUGUUUAUCUUCGAGGAAUUAAAAAGCAUUCUCAGAUAAGUUUAAUAUAGAAAUCUACACUUCAACCUGUUUUGUCAUUUACAAUUCCCAAAUGGUAAAAAUAUUAAAACCAGGUUGGGAACAAGCAUGAUUAGACAAGCAUUUAGUGUCUUUCACUUUAUGAAUUCUAAUAUUAUACAGGUUUGUGAACCAGGUUUGACUUAUUGAAGAACAAAUCAAAUAAAAACACUGUUAUUACUCCAUUGUAAAACUAUGUAUUUAAAAUGCAAUCUGUACCUUUGUACCUUACUUGUCUUUUUUCUUUGGCUCUCCUUAUUCAAGUGUGAUGGUGCAAAAGGCAGGCAGCGUAUAAGGAUUCAAACACUUUGAACUCUGUAGACCAUACAAAUUCAUAGUUUGAGAUUACACUGUACUGAUUGCUACUAAAAUUUUGAUAAUAAUGUUCAAGUUUUAAUGGCUGAAUGACAUUUGUCUGAUAGAAAGCUAGAUUUAUCUCUGUCAAAGAUGCAGAAAUGUACGGAAAGGGUCUUUAAAGUGUCCCUCUCCAAUCCCUUGGGCAUUGCAGCUCUGAAAGCACAGCUACUGUGCUGUAUCUCUCUCAAAGGAAUAACAACUCUGUGUGAAAGAGCUAUUUACAACUUGCUUUGUGUAUCAUCAGCAGAAACAAAAGAUAGAACAACAAGCAUAUAAAGGCUUUUUCCUAUUUAUCCCUCCUGACCUUUAUCUCUGCCACCCACCCAGGAAAUAAGGGGGAGGUAGGUAUGGGGCACAGCUUUUUAUGUCAAGUUUUCAAGGUAAUAUCCUGAGCUACAGAAACAAAAAAUCUGCUCAGUUGUUCUCUCUUCCCUUCCUCAGACAGACAUGGACAAGGCAGAUUCAGUAUUCCUAUACCAAGUCUGCUCAGGGGCAGCAAGUGCCUGCUCAUGGAAAAAAUUAGGAGUGAUGCUCUUCUGACCAGAAGUUGAAAAGACUGGUGGAAGGAAGACAUAUGACUUCAAUGGCUGAAGCCCGUAGUGGAAAAUGCCUAGAGCUAUAUCCCUCUUCAAAACAAAAACAAGACUCAGAAUCUUCUGAGGCCAGUGAUCAUCAAGGAAAGAUUAACAGGAUUUGGGGAAGUUACAGGGAAAAUCUGCAACAGGAAGAGUAUUGGUUGGACAAGAAGGCACCACUUCAGGAAUGCCACUGUCAUUGUGGAAAUUCCUCUGUCUUUCCAGAGGGAAUUGACAGUUGCUGGACAGUACUUCUGAGACUGCUAGGGAAGUAACAGUUUGUUCUAAAGUUCCACAGGUGAUGACAAGAAUCACAGAAUCACAGAAUGGUCUGUGUUGGAAGGGACCUCAAGGAUCAUGAAUCUCCAACCCCCAUGCUGGGCAGGGCCACCAACCUCCCCAUUUACUAGACCAGGUUGCCCGGGACUCAUCCAACCUGGCCUUGAACACCUCCAGGGACAGGGCAUCCACAACCUCUCUGGGCAGCCCGUUCCAGCACCUCACCAUUCUCCUGGUAAAGAACUUCCCCCUAACAUCCAACCUAAAUCUUCCCUCUUUCAACUUAAAACUGUUCCCCCUUGUCCUGCUGUUAUCUACCCUUUCAAAGAGUUUAUUCCCUUCCUGUUUAUAGGCUCCCUUCAGGUACUGAAAGGCUGCAAUGAGGUCACCCCGCAGCCUUCUCUUCUCCAGGCUGAAUAAGCCCAGCUCCCUCAGCCUGUAGAGUUUGGAUACUGACACUUAACCACAAUUUCAGGAAAAGAGUGGAGGAUUAUCUUUACUUCAACAAUUUUUCCCCUCUCCUACAAGCAAUUUUGGUAAUUUUAAUCUAGCAACUCCUAUGCUUUACCUAAAAUAUGCCAGAGUAUAAGCUGAUGCUCUUUUCUAAUUGGAAGCUUCUGCUGUGGCUUGUUGGACUCAGUGCAAUGGCAGAAAGGAAUGUUUUCUGAAAAGCUGAGCAAGUGCAAAGAUGAAUCAGCAGAUGGUCCCCACACUCAAGUAGCUAGCACAGAAAGAUCCAAAAAGAGGAUUUCUGAAACAGAAAUUAAAGCUUACGGCACGUUCUUUAGACAUGAAAGAUACUAUCGCAAGAUAAGGCACCUGUGCAGAUCAAAGAACUCAGGUAACUGUGGGGCUUAAAGACUUUGGCAGAAAUGACAUCCAAGUAUAAUGGCACUUGGCAUAUCCAUACACUUAUGAUCAUGAAAGAUAGACUUUUAAUUCAGUAUACAAUGUUUUCAUUAAUGAAUGAAAAUUGCAGCAGGAGACAAAGCCUGGAAAAAAAAAAAAGAAAAGAAAAAAAAGAAAAAUCCCAAAAAACAAAACACUGAGAAAAAUGUGUCACUGCUUUCAGAAAUAUAUUGCUGAUGCUCAUAUUUACAAAAAGUUUCACAUUUUGAAUUAUUCUUCAUGGUUUUUCUCAAAUAAAAUGCCACAUACAUGUUUUCUCACCAAAAACAGCAACAACGACAACAACAAAAAUUAAGUAUAUUUUAUAAGAAAAUUCAAUACAUGAUAAUCUAGUUUCCUUUCUAGUGCAGCUUUCCAAGAAAUGGGCAAUGCAUCAGUAAUACUAAAUUAACAAGUUGUUCAGGGCAGAACAUAAUAAUACUGUCUUUGGAAUGAGAUCAAUGAACCAAGGUGGUUUUCUUUGUAGGUGAGGCAUGAAUUUGGUUGUGGAGAACAGAGGAGGAAAAGAGAUGAUUUGCUUCAUGUGAAAUAAGAACACUGCCAACACACACCCCUGUCACUGAGUAUAGUCAUUAAUUUAAAAGCUCUCCCCCUCUGUUAUACAAAUUUUCCAAAGCCUCAGAAGAGAAAUAUUUUACUUCUGCUUUGCAAUUAGUUUAUAUCUAAAAUCUUCAUCAUGUUCUUGGUCAAAAAUUAAUUAGACUUCUAGCAAAAGACUUAUGAAGUAUUAUAUUGCUGUAUGGAUGAGAAAGGCAGAAAAUUUCCCUAACAGCACAUGCAGUAUCUCAUUUUUGGGGGGAGGGGGAUCAUAAAGAAUCUUCAAAUUAUACGAAAGAUUUGAUACUUUUUCCUUUCCUAUCUUUCUCUCAUUCCGAGGUCUACAAAUAAGCCCUGUGAAUUCAAAUUUUAACUACAAGGUUUGAAGAAGAGCUUCUGAAGAAAAGCAUUUCAGCCAGAAAAAGGCUAGCAUUUUGCACUUUUAAUACUACUAUGAGAUUGGUCUCAUGUCUACAUCACUGAGCUGAGUCGCUUGCAGUCUCUGGUAAGCACCAGUUAUUUGACAGUAGAGAGCAAGAGUAGACAAAUAGAUAAACUCAGUAUUAAUGCACUAAUUCUUUUAACACAGUAUUUAGUCUAGUAGAUAAUGCUAGACAUGUAAAGAGAGGAAUAUACGUUACUCUGUGGAUCAGCACAACUGUUAGCACGUUUUUUUCUCCUUGUCCUACUCAUCCCAGCACAGAUAACACAGUUCAAGUGACAGCGUUUGUGCAGCACUUUCACUGUGAAAAUACAUCAUACAUGCAACAUCAAGACAUGUAGUGGAUGGAUUUCUUUCCUAGUGUUUUAUCGUUCUUCUUUGCUUUCCAAGUGAAGAGCAACCUGUUUGUUUGCUUCUCUCUCUUUGUUGAAGACUACUCCCUGGAGAACCUUGUUUAUUUGUUUUAAACUUGUUUUUACAGGUCUGCUAAUAAAAUCAGGUGGAGAGGAGAGAUGUGUGUGCAGGUAAAAAAAAGUAGUGCCUGCAAGUGAUAUCAACACUUAUUCAUCGGCAGUAGUCAAGUUCAGGCUUAGUCCACACCCAGAAGAUGCAGGGAUGCUUCUGCCUUCUAAUUCAUACCUGAGUCUAACGCGGUAGUGGAGCAAUCUGGUGAAAGCAUGCUGAUCAGAUGAAGAGCUAUUAACUAACUCUGCUUAUUGGUCCAAAUUAUCCUACCCUAUGUAGUUGUCAAAAUUCUUGCUUAGGAUUGACUUAUGUACUUACAGAAAGACAAAAGAAAACCAAAAUUAGGUAGACUUUAAAAUUCACUUACAAAGAGUAUACUUUGAGGCAGUUUUGGAAUAACACUACAUGACAAUGAAAGACAAUUCCAUCUAACUAUGACAGGAUUUUUUUCUUCGGAAGACUGAAAAUAUCUUACCCUUGGAUAUAUGCUUUUUUUCCCCUAAAAAUGUAAAGAACAGAAAAAGUGAAAAGAAAUUAAAGCAUAUGUACUUGCUUCAGUUUACAUUUUAUUUCAUGGUUUGAUUUUGCCACUGAUUUUUGCUGGGGUGGAGUCAGUUUUCUCAGUUCUUUCAAGUGAUAAAGCUAACGAACUAUCAAUAUUGCCAUAAAGUCAACAAGAAAACCAAAACAAAUCAACAAAAAGCGUCCCAUCAAAUAAUUUAUGCUCCUUGCCAUCUAAGUUUUCUUGUAGAUACUUGCAUACCUUGUUGUUUCUAUUUCUCAUUUUCCAGUCUCUCCUAAUGUGGACUUCAAAUUUAAGCCAAGGGCUUAAUUCUAAGCACAUGAAAUAUCACCUUUUGCAUAACUACUUUACUUAUUCGUAGCCCAAACACCUAAAUAAUUUUUUUCAAAUUUAGCCUUGAAAGAACUUCUUACCAAGAAUUAUUUACAUAACAAGGUUCAAAGCUAUCUUUUUUUUUUUUUCCCAGCUACCUGCAAAAUAAAACAUUGCAGUUUUUUUUUUUUUUUUUUUUGAACUCUAGAACAACUUGGAAGAUUUUCACGAAAGUGCAAAAGAAUAUACUAAAAACCCCACAAAGAAAAACAGAAAAAAAAGACCCACAGCUUAGACAUGGCUAGAAGCAUGAAAAAAAAAAAAAAAAAAAAAAAAGUAGAUGUAAAAGUGAUGAGAAGUCAUUAAAUUUUUCUUAAAUUCUGAAAUACUUUCUGACACGAGACAGUGUAUGAAGACCGCACAUAGAGACCUGCAUGAAGAACUGCACAACUGUAAAGAGUUCUGUAUCUUCAAGACCGCCUCUCUCUCUGGGUGUAGUAUGCACAUCGGAAACACAAUACAGGCCUAAGUCCAUCCUUAAAAUAUAUUUCAAGAUCUAUCAGGCAGCAUAGACACAAAUUUCAAGGAGCAUGCAGACUACAGAUGGAGAGAAUACUGCUAAACUGAAGAUGGAUUGAGAGGUCUUCUGGGGCUGCACAUUGAAAAACACAUUUCAAUUCUGAAUAAAGGAGCACCAAGUCUGGUGCUACUGAAGCUGCUAUACAGAAGACCUCAUCACAACGCAUAUUAAAAGAACACCUUCACUAGAGAACGAAGCUGGUAAACACAGCCAUUCAUCCUGGUAACCUAUCACCUUUUCCCCCUCCACCUCCUGCUUAUUUCCUCCCCGGUCCAACCAAAAACAUUAUGCACACAAGCACAUACAUAUAUAUAUAUAUAUAUAUAUAUAUAUAUAUAUAUAUAUAUAUAUAUAUACGCAUGUGCAUAUUAUGGGUUUUAUACUCGAGAAAUAUGUUAAUCUACCAGGCUCGGCAAGGCACAUUUGGUGAGUGUAUUACCUGGUUAGCUAAAAUAACAGAAGGGAAAAGCUGGGGUAAGCAGGCUGAAGCCCCGUGUGUGGCCAAGGCAGCGGGAAGCAAGGCAGAGAGAGAGAGAAUGAACCCAACAACACAACAGUGGAACAGGCAGCUGGCCUGAGAUGCUAAUUCAGCGCUUUAACAAAUCAAUGCCACUUGAAAAGUACAAUGCGAGCCCUCACUGGGUAGAUGUCAAGGGACUGAGAAAAUGCAUUCUCAAGUAUUUCACAUUAAGAGGGAAUAAUGUGUUAAUUUAUAACUCUUCACCCUAUACACUUGGAUUAUCCAUCUGUGUCAGUGAUUUGACUUCUUAAAUUUAUCAAAAACAUGCGCAAAGGGAGGCAUCUUCUGCUAAAGCACUGGGAAAUAGCAAUUCAGAAACAGCCUGCCCUACUUGGUUGUUACGUGGAGAGUUGUGGGGUAGUGGGAUUUUUUUGUUGUUGUUUUUUUUUUCUUUGGACCCUUCGGUCAAAGGAAGGCCUUGCCUUAGCAGUGGCUGAUUGCAUUAGGUACCAUCCGUCAAAAGUGACACCACAGAGGAGUAAAAUCUUGAAUCAGCAACCUGAGAUGCCAUCAUCAGAAUUUAGUUUAAGGAAACUUAGCAAAUUCCCUCUGCACACCUUGCAGAAGAGAAACAGCUACGAUUAAAACGCCAUUCUAAAUGCCAGCUGAGAUCUACAGACAGUACUUAACUAAAAUCAAAAGAGAAAGCUGGGGAGGGAGAAUUAAAUUGGGCUUAUUUUGAUAUGAAUUGUACGUACGGGAUGUUUUCACAAAAACCUGAAAUAAAACUCCAUUAAGAAAAGUAUUACUGGUUGUCUUAAAGUCAGAUUCUUGAAACUGUUUCUUAACAUAAAACUUGUUCCAUUUAAUGACAUAGAUAAUACAAUUUUAUACGCAUAGAAAAUCCAAUGCCAGUCCAGAAAGCACAAAUCAAAACAUUUUUUUUUCUUUUGUCUGGAAAAUAGGUCUGUUUCAGAAUUUAAUACUUACUGGUUAACUUUGUGUUCAUUUUAUGUGCCAAGUUACCACUGUGAGAAUGAAGAACGUUGUAAGUAUGUCUAUUGAACACUUUAUGGUACGCACAGUGACAGCAUACCUUCAUCAUAAUGCAGAGGAGCAAAAUCCAAAGGCGCAAUAGGGAAAAUCCAUCCUGACAAGGAUCAGAUCAGUCAUAUUUAACACAGAGGCAGAGCACUUAAUGAUAAGUUUCAAACAAACAGUUAUCGAUGUAUGACUUUGAUACUAAAAAACAAAACAAAAUUAGGGAGAAAAAUGAAUUCUAAAAAUUGUUUAAAAUCUUAAGUGGCUUUUACUGCCUUAGGUGAAAUUAAAAAGGUGUGGGCAACUUUCUAGGUGUCUGCAUAAUUGUCACUUCUGUUUCAUUGCUUUUGUACUACACAGCAGCAGCUACAUUGUUGUAGGAAAUCUUUUGGUCAAUUAUACAAUUGCAAUAGUAACAGACACGGUCUUAUUUUCAGAACAUUCAUAUGUAAAUAAUAUGCUGAUGAAUGGAAAUUAGAUGCUAUAGAUGAUACGUAAAUAUUCACAUCUAGUAAAAGUAAAUGCUACUGCACUUAAACAGACUUCAGUGCUCUCGCUUCUACCACCCUUCCCUUCACUGGGAGAGGCAGGUACAACAUCAGAUUAGGGCAGGCAGCCUUCUGGGGUGUCCCUAUGGCUGCGAAAUUAACCAGGAGAAACACACAAGAUGGAAAAUGAAUUUGUUUUUGGCAGUAAAGCGCAUUAUAAUUUCUUGUUUUCAGACGUGAACUUCAUCUUUCCGAUUUUUUUUAAUUAAACAAAGAUCUGAGAAAUACAUAUGUUUUCUUUUUCACAAAGAACGCAAAAUCAUUUUCUUUCAAAACAGGUCACACCUAAAGGAAUAUUAUGCAUUUCUGGCACUAUGCACUUCUUUCACUUCUCUUCACAUGAAACCUUACGUAGGACAUAACAUGCAUGCUUCACAGGCUUGUUUGAAACCCUUGAGAAUCCUAAGGGGGCCUUUAGCUCUGUUUAUUAAUUAUAACAUGGAAAGGUACCACAUAUGUGCACCAAUGGCAGAAAAUCUGUAUCCUAGCCUCCUGCACAAUUUCUAUUCCUGUCUGUCCCAUUCAGACUUCUCUCUAAUAUAAGCUUUCUAUUCUUAUCAUUAUAGUACAUUUAAUCCCCCUCUGUUACUCCCCUCCCCCCUUUCUGGACUCACCUAAGGGGUUAAAAGACUAGAGUACAUUUGUGACUUGUCAGUGACAUAUAAUACCCAGGUCCUUCAUGCAAUCAACUUUUACUUGACAUGUAUUUGCUCAUCACAGGACCUGCAUUACUACUGGGAAAAUGAAGAAAAACCUAAAUUAACACUUGACAUUCAAUAUGGUCAAGUCCUUAAUUGGCUGGGCUUCCUGAGAAAGCAAUUUUCUAUUCCCCAAACUGUUCGUGUGUCAUGUGUGGAGUGCAGCUCUUGGCCAUCACUGCUGUCCCUCGCUCACUCUAAUGAGAGCAGAUGAAUUAGUGCUACGUGACACGAUUUUAGCAGGGCUCCCUCCUUCCCUCCCCCAGUCCUUUUCCUGUGUUAGUGACAGCUGUGUGGUGGGGGGUGGGGACAAGGACACCAAGAAAUGCUGGUUCAAAUAGUUCUGUGAAGACUGAAUAUUUUGAAAUAUGAAAUCUUAUAUGCUUUCUUGAUAUUCCUGGAAUCUGGUGAUCUAAAAGAAACAGGGAAGGGAGAAGGAGAUGCAGCAGUAUAAAGAUAUAAGAAAUUAGCUGAGUUUGGCUGGAUGCGAAUUAACUUCUAGCCUCUCCCCCAUUCUUGUAUUAACCUGUAGCAAUCUAAUUAAAAUGGAAAUUUUCUAUGCAGCAAAAGUAGUUCAAAAAUAUUUAGAGAGUGUCUGGCUAGAUGAACUUGCAAUUUUUGUGUGUAUAUUUCAUGUAAAACAAAAACAAAACCAAAAAGAAUCUUCCAUAUCAUGCUUCCUUGUGUGACAAAGAUCAUGUAAUACAAAAGAACAUUUGUGUGUCAUGUUUGGUGAUGACAAUCAUUGUACUCAAGUUUAUUUUUAGAAUAUGGGAAAUUUCUUUCAUCCAGAAUGGUUCUGCUCACUUUACAAUAUAAUUUGAAAGUCUAAUAAUGGUUUAACUAUUUGAAAGCCAAUGUAAAUCCCAUAAGGAGCUCAAGUGUUUGCUGACUGAUGGGAGAAAACAAAUUGUACUACUAAAAUAAACAUAAAAGCAAAUGAAAGUGAUGUAAAUAACUGAAGUUUCAGCUGAAAUCUUUGGAUAAUGAACUAGGAUGAAGAGUCUAAAGAAGCAGGAUAUUCAAAAUAAUGAAGUUAAAACACCAGAAAGAAAAAAAAAAAAAAAACAUUUAAUUUAAUAUUGCAAAUGCAUAGGUGACUACAAACUAUUUCUAGCUCUACAUAAUUGUAUGGUUUCACUGAACUUAUUGUGUGAAACAGAAAAAGCAACACAUAUAACCUGUAUUGUGAAUGAUUUUUGAAGAUAUCUAGCAAUGAACAAUCAACUUAUGCAAGAACUGUAAGAGUUAUAUUAACAGUACAGUUGAACUUGCCUCAGGAAGAGUCCUUGUCUCAGAUAAAAAACAAGUCGAAUCACCAUUUGCAAGUCAUGGCUCCAAACUGGAACCUGGCCUUGUAAAGUUAUAUUAUUUCAAUAAUAUAACAAACAGUACAUGCUGUUAGUUACCAGAAAAAAAAAAAAGAAUGACAACAUUUUUG
Molecule: long non-coding RNA, 24479 nt
Organism: Gallus gallus (chicken)
Lineage: Eukaryota; Metazoa; Chordata; Aves; Galliformes; Phasianidae
Exons: 5
Source: RefSeq, a predicted model, not a curated record